GCCUUCGUGGCGUAAUGGUCAAAACACUCGGAUCGUAUUCGAGAGGUCUGAGGUUCGAGUCCUGGCGAGGGCA
This 73-nucleotide transfer RNA is filed under the name Stegodyphus mimosarum. It matches the Rfam family "tRNA". From Rfam's summary of the family: Transfer RNA (tRNA) molecules are approximately 80 nucleotides in length. Their secondary structure includes four short double-helical elements and three loops (D, anti-codon, and T loops). Lineage: Eukaryota; Metazoa; Arthropoda; Arachnida; Araneae; Eresidae. The record is from Rfam by way of RNAcentral.